This is a long non-coding RNA of Rana temporaria (common frog), 959 nucleotides long. RefSeq lists it as uncharacterized. Lineage: Eukaryota; Metazoa; Chordata; Amphibia; Anura; Ranidae. The transcript has 3 exons. The record is from RefSeq and is a predicted model, not a curated record.
GUCCUGACUUGGGAUUAAACUCUGAAUUUGGAAUGAUUUCAUUGCAGGGAUCUGGAGGACAACGCUCAUCUUUCGGAGUUGUUGCAGCAUUUUCAAAGCAGAGCUGAACGGAUUUGUCUGGUUAGGACAUGGACGCGCUGGAAGGGGUUACAUGAGACCGUAUCAGUGGUACAAGUACUGAAUCAGAGGCGCUUGGUGGAGGGAAGCUGGAAGAUCUGGCGGAAGAGAAGGCUGCAGAUUGUUACAGCAAUACAGUUCUUGGAUUGGGAGAAGAGGUGGCUUUGUCUCAAGGCCUUUACAAUAUGGCGGCAGCGCAUGGUGACCAGACGAGGACUGGGAAGAAUGGGAAUUGAAGAUUUCCCAGGAUUUGGGAAAUGAUGGGGUGCAGUAAGAGCGGACAUAACAUUCCUGACAAAACUACAGAGGCCUCGCUGCACAUCCAGAGACAACGCUUAACAGGAAAGAACAAAUCCCAGGAGGCCAGGACAGGUAGUAGUGCCAGGAUGGCCACUACCUAGAAAAGAACUACAAGUCUCAGCCUGUACUGUAUGGUGGUUUGUAGUUUCCUAACCCAGGAGAGGUGUGCUACAUGUCCAUCGGUGUUCAGUCCCUGCAAUGAAAAAGGGUCCUGAAGAUUGAUAAACCUUACGUCCCGCUCAACAGCUGGAAAACAUAGGAGGCGUGUCUAAACAGUUUGGUGAAUGGCAUCAGAAAACAAAUAAAAGCGAAUAUACAAACAAAUGACCUUUAUUGGCCUUCAAAAUAAUCGCCAUCCUUCACAACACACUUUUAGAAAACUGUUCAUGAGCUUCUGGAAACUGUCCGCAAAGGCUUCUUUAGGAAUCGAUCGCAGAUCUUCUUGGAUUGCUGCCAUGUCUGCAAAACAUUGUCUUGACCCUAAACUUUUGCAAGGGACUUUGGGGAAGUCGUGAUUGCCAUUCCAUCAAUUACCGCUUGAA